This 231-nucleotide long non-coding RNA is filed under the name Prunus persica (peach). Its description in RNAcentral is "long non-coding RNA (PPER_LNC002565)". Lineage: Eukaryota; Viridiplantae; Streptophyta; Magnoliopsida; Rosales; Rosaceae. The record is from RNAcentral.
GAUGGAGCAUAGAUGCUUUGGUUAUGUUUUAUUUAGUUAUGGUUUGGUUGUGUUGUAUUUUUAUUUAUUAUGUUUUGGUUUAUGGUUUGGUUGUGUCGUAUUUUUAUUCAUUAUGCUUUGGUUGUGGUUUGUUAUUAUUAUUGUGCCUUGUUUGUAGUUUUUUUUAUUUUUAUUUUGUUUUGUUUGAAGUAUGGAAUAUGUUGAAUAAAAAGGUAAUUUAUUGAAUACUUU